Molecule: long non-coding RNA, 2356 nt
Organism: Equus caballus (horse)
Lineage: Eukaryota; Metazoa; Chordata; Mammalia; Perissodactyla; Equidae
Source: RefSeq, a predicted model, not a curated record
AGAGAGGAGGGAGGAAACGAAGGAGGAAGAGGAGGGAGGGAGGGAGUGGCCUUCUGCAGGCUUUAAUCUCCGGCAGAGCCAGGAGCCAAACAACCCAGCACCCCGCCCUCCCCAUGAGAGAUGUGAUCUGAGCAGGUGGCAAGGGGUUCGCUGGCCUGGGCUCCCACCCACAGCUGCCCGCAGACAGACCGACUGGAUUUACCCAGUUCUUAAUUAUGCGCUGGGAGACCACUGGCGGCCCUGGGCAGGCUUUGUACAAGACCACUUCAGCUCCAACGUCGGCCAGGGCUGCCCCAGGAGAAGAGCAACAAAUCCAACAGCCUUGGAGGCUCCCGUACAGCCUCCACUGCAUCAGCAAGGUGGAUGUCUUUAUACAAACUCACAGCACCAACCGAAACGCUAAGCUGUCUGGGAUGAUUUUUGUGCGCUUCCGUAUUGUUCCACUAUUUUAUGACAAUGUUUUCCAGGAUAUGUGUGUAAUUUUAAAUUGAAAAAAUCAAUACAGAGUCAUUAUGCUAAAUGACCAAAAAUGCUGCCUCUGCAUUUUAGUUCCAGUUGCGUUGGGCACGUCUCCAGGCUGAGGUGAGCUGAAACAUCAAAGCAGAGCCGGCUGGGCCUUAUUCAAGGACAGACCCCCGGGGUAAGAAGCAGGGGGUUGCUGGGGCCCUGUCGCAGCUGCUGACAGCCUAUGUAGGUGCCGAGAAGUCCCGGCCGACCUGGUGACCCUCGCGCCCCAGGCAGCAGCUUGUAGCCAAUGGGCAGGCAGCCUCCCUCCUGGGACAGGAGGUGGUUACAGGGACACUGAGUCCCAACAGACUCAGACAAUCCCCUCAACAAUGCAGCAACUAAGUCCCACGUCCUGGAGGAGAGUGCUGUGUUUCUAGGUUGGCGGCUUUCUGUGACCUGAACAAAGGACCAGCCAGAAUCCAGACUCUCCAGGACUCUAGAAGUGACAGCCCAGAGGUUCUGACCUGCUGGGGGGAGAGAAGGCAGCAGCACAAUCCUUUUCCAGCCAGCAGCGCUGUCCCCAGCCAGCUAGCGAGGGGCCACAGGAGAGGCUGUUGGCAGCACAGUCACCCUUGUCAAACAGGGCUGGCCACGCUCCGGGCUGGCAGAGCCCACUUCAUCUCAACCUGGGCUCAAGAGCUGAGUAGGGACCAAGGGUGGCUGACCCGGGCUCCCAAACCUUAGGGACCAUACUGCCCAACAACAAAAAGGACUUUCUCUGUGUCCCCGCCCCCAACAGGGUAAACCACUGAGUCAGCAACGCCACAGCACUUGGCAUCUCCACUACCCAUGCUUUAAGAAGGGAUCUCAGACGGGUCCCAGGAAGCUCCUCACACCAUUCCCUGGGACCUAAGACUGGUCCCAGAGGAUGAGCAAAGACCAUCAGAGGCCAGUUCACAAAUCACUGCAUGGUAUACCUAACCGGGUGACUACGUGAUCAGGUUUCCUCCCACCACCAGGCCAGACUCAGCUUCCCAGUGCUCAGGGGACAGCCAUGCACCCUGUGAGUCUGCACAGGAGAGAAAGCUGGAAUAGGAAUUAACGUGAGGAAGGAAAAAAAAAAAAAAACCCUAGUUAACUGGAGGUCUGCUUAGAUCACCGUGGAUGAAGGUUCUGCAACGUCCUUGUCAUCGACGUCAGGGAUUACAGCAGCACCAAUUCUGUUCCCACCAGCACUCAGCCAGCUCUCCUCUCCAGACCCGCAAGGGUUCUGCUCUCAGAAACCACACCAGGGCACAAGUCUUCCUCCCUGAUCACUCGAGCAGGAUCUCAGCUACUAACAGUUAGGGACCACGUGGAUGGACAUCACUCUGCCCAGACUGAUGGAGUAGAACCUGCUGGACCAAGGACUCUUUAGGAAGCCUGGAUGAACAGAGAAUUAGGGGCCAUGAGACCCAGAUCCCAACAGUGGUUCUGCCCUGCGACUUACAGCAUGAUAUGUCCUCUCUCCAAGUCCACUUUCUCACCUGCAAGAUGGUGAUCAUGUCGCCUGCCCCUUGGAACUCACAGGGCUCUUACUGGGAACAGCACAGACAUCAUUUACAAAGCUGCUUUGUAGAUUGGGGAGUCUUUAGCAUGGUGUUUAGGACCAUGGCCUUGGAGGCAGGCAAACAUGGGUUCAAAUCCCGGGUCUACUACAGAGCUAGCUCUCUGACCUGGAGCUCUAGAUUUCUCACCCAUAAAAUGGAAAAAAUAACAGAAGCCGUACAUUGGCUGUUGUCCAUCCUAACACUGGCAAUUUGAGUAAAAGGGUUUAACCUGGUGCUUGGUGUGUAGCAAGUGAUGCUCGCCGUUAUUAUUAAGCGUUAGGAUGCUGCACAAAUAUUAGUGGAUGUUGUUCAAGAGGCGA